RNAcentral lists this ribosomal RNA (700 nucleotides) under uncultured bacterium. RNAcentral describes it as "bacterial SSU rRNA". It matches the Rfam family "Bacterial small subunit ribosomal RNA", at positions 69 to 738 of the family's 1533-position model. The record is from RNAcentral.
ACUUCUUUAUCACCGAGUGCUUGCACUCACCGAUAAAGAGUUGAGUGGCGAACGGGUGAGUAACACGUGGGCAACCUGCCCAAAAGAGGGGGAUAACACUUGGAAACAGGUGCUAAUACCGCAUAACCAUAGUUACCGCAUGGUAACUAUGUAAAAGGUGGCUAUGCUACCGCUUUUGGAUGGGCCCGCGGCGCAUUAGCUAGUUGGUGGGGUAAAGGCUUACCAAGGCAAUGAUGCGUAGCCGAACUGAGAGGUUGAUCGGCCACAUUGGGACUGAGACACGGCCCAAACUCCUACGGGAGGCAGCAGUAGGGAAUCUUCCACAAUGGGCGAAAGCCUGAUGGAGCAACGCCGCGUGGGUGAAGAAGGUCUUCGGAUCGUAAAACCCUGUUGUUAGAGAAGAAAGUGCGUGAGAGUAACUGUUCACGUUUCGACGGUAUCUAACCAGAAAGCCACGGCUAACUACGUGCCAGCAGCCGCGGUAAUACGUAGGUGGCAAGCGUUAUCCGGAUUUAUUGGGCGUAAAGGGAACGCAGGCGGUCUUUUAAGUCUGAUGUGAAAGCCUUCGGCUUAACCGGAGUAGUGCAUUGGAAACUGGGAGACUUGAGUGCAGAAGAGGAGAGUGGAACUCCAUGUGUAGCGGUGAAAUGCGUAGAUAUAUGGAAGAACACCAGUGGCGAAAGCGGCUCUCUGGUCUGUA